GAUGAAGAACGCAGCGAAACGCGAUAGGUAAUGCGAAUUGCAGAAUUCCGUGAGUCAUCGAAUCUUUGAACGCACAUUGCGCCCUCUGGUAUUCCGGAGGGCAUGCCUGUCUGAGCGUCAUUGUCAACCCUCAAGCUCAGCUUGCUGUUGGGUCCCCGUCGUUGCUUUAACGGCGGACCCGAAAGGUAAUGGCAGAGUCCGUGAGACCCUAGACGCAGCGAGCUUCUAGCACGCGUCUGGACGUUUUUCGGGCUCGGUCUUAACUAGAUGAUAACUUCCGAUUGACCUCAGAUCAGGUAGGGAUACCCGCUGAACUUAAGCAUAUCAAUAAGCCGAGGA
This 339-nucleotide unclassified non-coding RNA is filed under the name soil metagenome. RNAcentral's name for it is "partial contains 5.8S ribosomal RNA, internal transcribed spacer 2, and large subunit ribosomal RNA". The stretch from base 1 to 120 matches the Rfam family "5.8S ribosomal RNA", at positions 35 to 154 of the family's 154-position model. The record is from RNAcentral.